This 419-nucleotide long non-coding RNA is filed under the name Danio rerio (zebrafish). RNAcentral's name for it is "si:cabz01069023.1 (ENSDARG00000105727.2)". The record is from RNAcentral. Lineage: Eukaryota; Metazoa; Chordata; Actinopteri; Cypriniformes; Danionidae.
GCGAAGUAUUGCCAGUUUCACUGCCUACUAAGCGCUUUUCCUACUGCUAUUUCUGCCAUUGUGUUAUGACCUUUUUGCCUGCUCUUUUUGAUUACUGUUUUUGGAUUUUGGACUCUGCCUUGUUUGCCUUUUUGGACUGCCUCUUUGUUUGCUUAUCGUUGCCUGGUUCAUGAUCACGAUUCUGCCUAUUGUUUGAUACUAGUUGUUUGUUUAAUAAACCUCCAGCUUUUGGAUUCAAUCCGCCUCCAUGUCUUCACCUACGGCUCCCUCACACUUCCUCUGUUGUCAAGUUUUUGGAUUGAGUCUCAAUAACUUGGUCAGGUGUCACCCAAGAUUUAUCUUCCUUCACAGUGCUUUGUCUUGAGCUGUAAGGAUGAACUCCUGAAAUCUGUCUAAACUCCAGUGAUUGACUUGAAGAC